GAUGAACGCUGGCGGCGUGCUUAACACAUGCAAGUCGAACGGAAAGGCCCAAGCUUGCUUGGGUCCUCGAGUGGCGAACGGGUGAGUAACACGUGGGUGAUCUGCCCUGCACUUCGGGAAAAGCCUGGGAAACUGGGUCUAAUACCGGAUAGGACGAUGGUUUGGAUGCCAUUGUGGAAAGUUUUUUCGGUGUGGGAUGAGCUCGCGGCCUAUCAGCUUGUUGGUGGGGUAAUGGCCUACCAAGGCGUCGACGGGUAGCCGGCCUGAGAGGGUGUACGGCCACAUUGGGACUGAGAUACGGCCCAGACUCCUACGGGAGGCAGCAGUGGGGAAUAUUGCACAAUGGGCGCAAGCCUGAUGCAGCGACGCCGCGUGGGGGAUGACGGCCUUCGGGUUGUAAACUCCUUUCGCUAGGGACGAAGCGUUUUUGUGACGGUACCUGGAGAAGAAGCACCGGCUAACUACGUG
RNAcentral lists this ribosomal RNA (468 nucleotides) under uncultured bacterium. RNAcentral's name for it is "partial 16S ribosomal RNA". It matches the Rfam family "Bacterial small subunit ribosomal RNA", at positions 28 to 507 of the family's 1533-position model. The record is from RNAcentral.